AGCGUACACGGUGGAUGCCCUGGCAGUCAGAGGCGAUGAAGGACGUGCUAAUCUGCGAUAAGCGUCGGUAAGGUGAUAUGAACCGUUAUAACCGGCGAUUUCCGAAUGGGGAAACCCAGUGUGUUUCGACACACUAUCAUUAACUGAAUCCAUAGGUUAAUGAGGCGAACCGGGGGAACUGAAACAUCUAAGUACCCCGAGGAAAAGAAAUCAACCGAGAUUCCCCCAGUAGCGGCGAGCGAACGGGGAGGAGCCCAGAGCCUGAAUCAGUGUGUGUGUUAGUGGAAGCGUCUGGAAAGGCGCGCGAUACAGGGUGACAGCCCCGUACACAAAAAUGCACAUGCUGUGAGCUCGAUGAGUAGGGCGGGACACGUGGUAUCCUGUCUGAAUAUGGGGGGACCAUCCUCCAAGGCUAAAUACUCCUGACUGACCGAUAGUGAACCAGUACCGUGAGGGAAAGGCGAAAAGAACCCCGGCGAGGGGAGUGAAAAAGAACCUGAAACCGUGUACGUACAAGCAGUGGGAGCACGCUUAGGCGUGUGACUGCGUACCUUUUGUAUAAUGGGUCAGCGACUUAUAUUCUGUAGCAAGGUUAACCGAAUAGGGGAGCCGAAGGGAAACCGAGUCUUAACUGGGCGUUAAGUUGCAGGGUAUAGACCCGAAACCCGGUGAUCUAGCCAUGGGCAGGUUGAAGGUUGGGUAACACUAACUGGAGGACCGAACCGACUAAUGUUGAAAAAUUAGCGGAUGACUUGUGGCUGGGGGUGAAAGGCCAAUCAAACCGGGAGAUAGCUGGUUCUCCCCGAAAGCUAUUUAGGUAGCGCCUCGUGAAUUCAUCUCCGGGGGUAGAGCACUGUUUCGGCAAGGGGGUCAUCCCGACUUACCAACCCGAUGCAAACUGCGAAUACCGGAGAAUGUUAUCACGGGAGACACACGGCGGGUGCUAACGUCCGUCGUGAAGAGGGAAACAACCCAGACCGCCAGCUAAGGUCCCAAAGUCAUGGUUAAGUGGGAAACGAUGUGGGAAGGCCCAGACAGCCAGGAUGUUGGCUUAGAAGCAGCCAUCAUUUAAAGAAAGCGUAAUAGCUCACUGGUCGAGUCGGCCUGCGCGGAAGAUGUAACGGGGCUAAACCAUGCACCGAAGCUGCGGCAGCGACGCUUAUGCGUUGUUGGGUAGGGGAGCGUUCUGUAAGCCUGCGAAGGUGUGCUGUGAGGCAUGCUGGAGGUAUCAGAAGUGCGAAUGCUGACAUAAGUAACGAUAAAGCGGGUGAAAAGCCCGCUCGCCGGAAGACCAAGGGUUCCUGUCCAACGUUAAUCGGGGCAGGGUGAGUCGACCCCUAAGGCGAGGCCGAAAGGCGUAGUCGAUGGGAAACAGGUUAAUAUUCCUGUACUUGGUGUUACUGCGAAGGGGGGACGGAGAAGGCUAUGUUGGCCGGGCGACGGUUGUCCCGGUUUAAGCGUGUAGGCUGGUUUUCCAGGCAAAUCCGGAAAAUCAAGGCUGAGGCGUGAUGACGAGGCACUACGGUGCUGAAGCAACAAAUGCCCUGCUUCCAGGAAAAGCCUCUAAGCAUCAGGUAACAUCAAAUCGUACCCCAAACCGACACAGGUGGUCAGGUAGAGAAUACCAAGGCGCUUGAGAGAACUCGGGUGAAGGAACUAGGCAAAAUGGUGCCGUAACUUCGGGAGAAGGCACGCUGAUAUGUAGGUGAAGUCCCUCGCGGAUGGAGCUGAAAUCAGUCGAAGAUACCAGCUGGCUGCAACUGUUUAUUAAAAACACAGCACUGUGCAAACACGAAAGUGGACGUAUACGGUGUGACGCCUGCCCGGUGCCGGAAGGUUAAUUGAUGGGGUCAGCGCAAGCGAAGCUCUUGAUCGAAGCCCCGGUAAACGGCGGCCGUAACUAUAACGGUCCUAAGGUAGCGAAAUUCCUUGUCGGGUAAGUUCCGACCUGCACGAAUGGCGUAAUGAUGGCCAGGCUGUCUCCACCCGAGACUCAGUGAAAUUGAACUCGCUGUGAAGAUGCAGUGUACCCGCGGCAAGACGGAAAGACCCCGUGAACCUUUACUAUAGCUUGACACUGAACAUUGAGCCUUGAUGUGUAGGAUAGGUGGGAGGCUUGGAAGUGUGGACGCCAGUCUGCAUGGAGCCGACCUUGAAAUACCACCCUUUAAUGUUUGAUGUUCUAACGUUGACCCGUAAUCCGGGUUGCGGACAGUGUCUGGUGGGUAGUUUGACUGGGGCGGUCUCCUCCUAAAGAGUAACGGAGGAGCACGAAGGUUGGCUAAUCCUGGUCGGACAUCAGGAGGUUAGUGCAAUGGCAUAAGCCAGCUUGACUGCGAGCGUGACGGCGCGAGCAGGUGCGAAAGCAGGUCAUAGUGAUCCGGUGGUUCUGAAUGGAAGGGCCAUCGCUCAACGGAUAAAAGGUACUCCGGGGAUAACAGGCUGAUACCGCCCAAGAGUUCAUAUCGACGGCGGUGUUUGGCACCUCGAUGUCGGCUCAUCACAUCCUGGGGCUGAAGUAGGUCCCAAGGGUAUGGCUGUUCGCCAUUUAAAGUGGUACGCGAGCUGGGUUUAGAACGUCGUGAGACAGUUCGGUCCCUAUCUGCCGUGGGCGCUGGAGAACUGAGGGGGGCUGCUCCUAGUACGAGAGGACCGGAGUGGACGCAUCACUGGUGUUCGGGUUGUCAUGCCAAUGGCACUGCCCGGUAGCUAAAUGCGGAAGAGAUAAGUGCUGAAAGCAUCUAAGCACGAAACUUGCCCCGAGAUGAGUUCU
This 2773-nucleotide ribosomal RNA is filed under the name Escherichia coli. Its description in RNAcentral is "bacterial LSU rRNA". It matches the Rfam family "Bacterial large subunit ribosomal RNA". Lineage: Bacteria; Pseudomonadati; Pseudomonadota; Gammaproteobacteria; Enterobacterales; Enterobacteriaceae. The record is from RNAcentral.